Molecule: ribosomal RNA, 720 nt
Filed under: Fructilactobacillus lindneri
Lineage: Bacteria; Bacillati; Bacillota; Bacilli; Lactobacillales; Lactobacillaceae
Description: bacterial SSU rRNA
Rfam family: Bacterial small subunit ribosomal RNA
Source: RNAcentral
AGAGUUUGAUCCUGGCUCAGGAUGAACGCUGGCGGCGUGCCUAAUACAUGCAAGUCGAACGAGGUCUCCUAACUGAUAGCUGGUGCUUGCAUCAGCUUGACGAUAGAUCUGACCGAGUGGCGAACUGGUGAGUAACACGUGGGUAACCUGCCCAGAAGAAGGGGAUAACACCUGGAAACAGAUGCUAAUACCGUAUAACAACGAGAACCACAUGGUUCUCGUUUGAAAGAUGGCUUUUAUGCUAUCGCUUCUGGAUGGACCCGCGGCGUAUUAGCUAGUUGGUGAGAUAAUAGCUCACCAAGGCAAUGAUACGUAGCAGACCUGAGAGGGUAAUCUGCCACAAUGGGACUGAGACACGGCCCAUACUCCUACGGGAGGCAGCAGUAGGGAAUCUUCCACAAUGGACGAAAGUCUGAUGGAGCAACGCCGCGUGAGUGAAGAAGGGUUUCGGCUCGUAAAACUCUGUUGUUAGAGAAGAACGACCGUGAGAGCAACUGCUCACGGUGUGACGGUAUCUAACCAGAAAGUCACGGCUAACUACGUGCCAGCAGCCGCGGUAAUACGUAGGUGGCAAACGUUGUCCGGAUUUAUUGGGCGUAAAGCGAGCGCAGGCGGUUUUCUAAGUCUGAUGUGAAAGCCUUCGGCUUAACCGGAGAAGUGCAUCGGAAACUGGAUAACUUGAGUGCAGAAAAGGACAGUGGAACUUCAUGUGUAGCGGUG